Cyanistes caeruleus (blue tit) is the source of this 432-nucleotide long non-coding RNA. RefSeq lists it as uncharacterized. The record is from RefSeq and is a predicted model, not a curated record. NCBI's taxonomy places the organism in Eukaryota, Metazoa, Chordata, Aves, Passeriformes, Paridae.
CUCAUGUCCCCCCUGUCCCCCCAUCCACAUCGGUAGCUGCAGAGCCUGUGUGGAUAAUGAGAGACUGCUCAGGGCCUCUUUACUCCAGAGAACGUUCACCGGAGUUGUUGAAGAUUCUGUAAAAUCUUUACUUUCUUGUGGGAGCUGCUGUUCAGAACUGCCAAAAGAAUGGAUCUUCUGCAUCAUCCCCUACGCCGAAAUAAUUGUUUACUCAUCCUGCGGGAUAUUAAUUCAAAAUAGUCAAUGUAAUAUUUGUGUAUAUUUGCAGCAAAGAGAAGCAUGGUCAGAGUGAAGGAGGGGUUUUAUCAUUUGCAGUUUGAAAGGAACUGCACUCGAAUGUGUUUGCUGUGUGAUGUUUUACUGUGUGCAAAAUGUCAGUGCUGGGAGGCCUGGCAGGGAUGAAUUCCAAUUAUCCAUCAUUAGUCCCUUUUG